UGGGGAAUAUUGCGCAAUGGGGGAAACCCUGACGCAGCAACGCCGCGUGAGUGAUGAAGGUUUUCGGAUCGUAAAACUCUGUCUUUAGGGACGAUAAUGACGGUACCUAAGGAGGAAGCCACGGCUAACUACGUGCCAGCAGCCGCGGUAAUACGUAGGUGGCAAGCGUUGUCCGGAUUUACUGGGCGUAAAGAGUAUGUAGGUGGGUGCUUAAGUCAGAUGUGAAAUUCCCGGGCUUAACCUGGGCGCUGCAUUUGAAACUGGGCAUCUAGAGUGCAGGAGAGGAAAGUGGAAUUCCUAGUGUAGCGGUGAAAUGCGUAGAGAUUAGGAAGAACACCAGUGGCGAAGGCGACUUUCUGGACUGUAACUGACACUGAGAUACGAAAGCGUGGGUAGCAAACAGG
This 404-nucleotide ribosomal RNA is filed under the name Clostridium sp. enrichment culture. Its description in RNAcentral is "bacterial SSU rRNA". It matches the Rfam family "Bacterial small subunit ribosomal RNA", at positions 355 to 776 of the family's 1533-position model. Lineage: Bacteria; Bacillati; Bacillota; Clostridia; Eubacteriales; Clostridiaceae. The record is from RNAcentral.